This is a long non-coding RNA of Maniola jurtina (meadow brown), 475 nucleotides long. RefSeq lists it as uncharacterized. The transcript has 3 exons. Lineage: Eukaryota; Metazoa; Arthropoda; Insecta; Lepidoptera; Nymphalidae. The record is from RefSeq and is a predicted model, not a curated record.
GUUCAUAAAAAAUAUCAAGUUACUAAGAUCUCAAUAAUUGUGAUUCAUAGAGUUGGUAGGCAAUAAAAAAAAUAAAGAAUUCAUUAUUUUGUUUGAGAUUUCCAUUUUGUUUUAUUGCUGAUUUAUUUUACAAAUUAAUAAUUUUUUUAUAAACACUUAAAGAGGUCAUUCCUAUAGAAUCAAAAUAUAUAUUAUAUCAAAAUACCCUCCUGACCCACUGUGUCCCUAGGGCUGACUCACUGUGUACUCCCCAUAGGACACACUGGGUCAAUUCCCAUUUUAAAAAAAAUAUAUUUAUUUCAAAAACCGUCAGACUUAUGUAGAUAACUUUUUGAUCAAAGUAAGCUAACUAGCCUACCUCAAUUCCAUUAGAGUUUGACAUCAAUAGCUUGCUUAUUUUCGGAGCAAUAUUACUGUGAAAAAUGGGCGACCCACUGUUGCCACAACGACCCUAAUAUGAGUGUCAAAUAUGGUU